Molecule: ribosomal RNA, 405 nt
Filed under: Triticum aestivum (bread wheat)
Lineage: Eukaryota; Viridiplantae; Streptophyta; Magnoliopsida; Poales; Poaceae
Description: partial small subunit ribosomal RNA
Source: RNAcentral
AUGAAUGGUGAGUACACCUUCGUCGGAUUCGCCAUUGAAGGAGACAAAAGCAAGCUGAAGCUAUCUGGUUUGGAGAUCAACUCCGACAACUACAUUGAUAUUCAGGUGGAAUGGAGAGAUCCAUACAAUAAAAAGAAGUUUGACUCUUUGGCUGAUGUUGCCGGCAGGAUGAUAGACAUUCACUACCAUGACAUGAAGAAAAAAAUUAACCGCAAGGAGGACCAUACUCUGUGGGGAUUUUGCCCGCUGCCAAAAAAGCUUAUCAAGUAUGCAGCAAUAGAUGCAUUCGCAACAUAUGAGUCAUGGAGAAUCAUCUACGAUGUCAUAAUGGGACUGGACAGGGCAAAGAGAGAGAAAGAAGCAAAGAAGAAGAAGAACAAGGCUGUAAUCCAAUACAGCAACUAG